UUCGUUGUAGCGACCAUUCUUCGCCUACAGAAGUUUUCAGACUCAAUCAAGAGCGCUUUGAUUGGACGACUCAAGAUUCAAAGAAUUUCUUUAUAUCUUUUGUGAACAAAACAUAUGAAGUGUUGAAAAUCUUCAAAAGAGAUACUUUGGUCUUCUUUCAAGAACUUCACGAGAAAAAGUUAUAACAUAAGAGGACAAACUGGAAAAAAGUAUUCUGUAACUGGGAGCACUAGAAGAGCGAGCCAGAACAAAC
Long non-coding RNA from Limulus polyphemus (Atlantic horseshoe crab), 253 nucleotides. RefSeq lists it as uncharacterized. The record is from RefSeq and is a predicted model, not a curated record. The transcript is spliced from 3 exons. Lineage: Eukaryota; Metazoa; Arthropoda; Merostomata; Xiphosura; Limulidae.